AGCUGGUGCCUGUGAUUGGAAAAGUCAGCAAGAGUGGUGGAAUCAAAGAGGUCCAAGCAUGUCUCAAAUCAAUGCGACUCACUCACUACCUUUGUGUCCGAGACAAUACCAGAGAGGGUGUCGAUGCAGUUAGCGUAGCUUCUGAGUAAAGCCCCGAGCUCGAGUGAAAGCAUACCAAGGAUUCUUCGGUAGACAUGGAAUCAAGAACGCUUCGGUAUCCUACCAGUUUCUCCUUAGAAGCUUCCUUCUUCAUGUCAUCUGCAUCAUCCCGGAGAAUGAGGCUGUGAAGCUCGUUUCCCGCCCAAACAGGGCAGCAGAAGAUGCUGGUGACAACGCAGAUGGAGGUGCCAAUCGCAACAUUGGACAGUCUGUGUUGUGCGAAGUCAAACAAGUCUGGCAUGCGAUAUCCAGA
Molecule: long non-coding RNA, 412 nt
Organism: Salvia splendens (bonfire salvia)
Lineage: Eukaryota; Viridiplantae; Streptophyta; Magnoliopsida; Lamiales; Lamiaceae
Exons: 3
Source: RefSeq, a predicted model, not a curated record